AGUGAACGCUGGCGGUAGGCCUAACACAUGCAAGUCGAACGGCAGCACAGUAAGAGCUUGCUCUUACGGGUGGCGAGUGGCGUACGGGUGCGGAAUACAUCGGAAUCUACUUUUUCGUGGGGGAUAACGUAGGGAAACUUACGCUCAUACCGCAUACGACCUUCGGUUUAAAGCAGGGGAUCUUCGGACCUUGCGCGAUUGAAUGAGCCGAUGUCGUAUUAGCUAGUUGGCGGGGUACAGGCCCACCAAGGCGACGAUCCGUUGCUGGUCUCAGAGGAUGAUCACCCACACUGGAACUGAGACACGGUCCAGACUCCUACGGGAGGCAGCAGUGGGGAAUAUUCGACAAUGGGCGCAACCCUGAUCCAGCCAUACCGCGUCGGUGAAGAAGGCCUUCCGGUUGUAAAGCCCUUUUGUUGGGAAAGAAAAGCAGCAGGUUAAUACCCCGCUGUUCUGACGGUACCCAAAGAAUAAGCACCGGCUAACUUCGUG
This 492-nucleotide ribosomal RNA is filed under the name uncultured bacterium. RNAcentral's name for it is "partial 16S ribosomal RNA". It matches the Rfam family "Bacterial small subunit ribosomal RNA", at positions 29 to 507 of the family's 1533-position model. The record is from RNAcentral.